This 464-nucleotide ribosomal RNA is filed under the name Vreelandella stevensii. RNAcentral's name for it is "partial 16S ribosomal RNA". It matches the Rfam family "Bacterial small subunit ribosomal RNA", at positions 338 to 795 of the family's 1533-position model. Lineage: Bacteria; Pseudomonadati; Pseudomonadota; Gammaproteobacteria; Oceanospirillales; Halomonadaceae. The record is from RNAcentral.
CCUACGGGUGGCUGCAGUGGGGAAUAUUGGACAAUGGGCGAAAGCCUGAUCCAGCCAUGCCGCGUGUGUGAAGAAGGCCUUCGGGUUGUAAAGCACUUUCAGUGGGGAAGAAAGCCUUGGGGCUAAUACCCUCGAGGAAGGACAUCACCCACAGAAGAAGCACCGGCUAACUCCGUGCCAGCAGCCGCGGUAAUACGGAGGGUGCGAGCGUUAAUCGGAAUUACUGGGCGUAAAGCGCGCGUAGGCGGUCUGAUAAGCCGGUUGUGAAAGCCCCGGGCUCAACCUGGGAACGGCAUCCGGAACUGUCAGGCUAGAGUGCAGGAGAGGAAGGUAGAAUUCCCGGUGUAGCGGUGAAAUGCGUAGAGAUCGGGAGGAAUACCAGUGGCGAAGGCGGCCUUCUGGACUGACACUGACGCUGAGGUGCGAAAGCGUGGGUAGCAAACAGGAUUAGCUACCGAGUAGUC